RNAcentral lists this ribosomal RNA (253 nucleotides) under uncultured bacterium. RNAcentral's name for it is "partial 16S ribosomal RNA". It matches the Rfam family "Bacterial small subunit ribosomal RNA", at positions 524 to 776 of the family's 1533-position model. RNAcentral also lists the same sequence under 2 other names. The record is from RNAcentral.
UACGGAGGGAGCUAGCGUUGUUCGGAAUUACUGGGCGUAAAGCGCACGUAGGCGGCUUUGUAAGUUAGAGGUGAAAGCCUGGAGCUCAACUCCAGAAUUGCCUUUAAGACUGCAUCGCUUGAAUCCAGGAGAGGUGAGUGGAAUUCCGAGUGUAGAGGUGAAAUUCGUAGAUAUUCGGAAGAACACCAGUGGCGAAGGCGGCUCACUGGACUGGUAUUGACGCUGAGGUGCGAAAGCGUGGGGAGCAAACAGG